UACGUAGGGUGCAAGCGUUAAUCGGAAUUACUGGGCGUAAAGCGUGCGCAGGCGGUUGUGUAAGUCUGAUGUGAAAUCCCCGGGCUUAACCUGGGAACUGCGUUUGGAACUGCAAGACUAGAGUGUGUCAGAGGGGGGUAGAAUUCCACGUGUAGCAGUGAAAUGCGUAGAGAUGUGGAGGAAUACCGAUGGCGAAGGCAGCCCCCUGGGAUAACACUGACGCUCAUGCGCGAAAGCGUGGGGAGCAAACAGG
This 253-nucleotide ribosomal RNA is filed under the name uncultured bacterium. Its description in RNAcentral is "partial 16S ribosomal RNA". It matches the Rfam family "Bacterial small subunit ribosomal RNA", at positions 524 to 776 of the family's 1533-position model. The record is from RNAcentral.